Molecule: long non-coding RNA, 498 nt
Filed under: Callithrix jacchus (white-tufted-ear marmoset)
Lineage: Eukaryota; Metazoa; Chordata; Mammalia; Primates; Cebidae
Description: lncRNA (ENSCJAG00000074392.1)
Source: RNAcentral
AAGUGCUGGGAUUACAAGUGUGAGCCACCAUUUGUGGCCCUGUUCUGUGCUAUUUACUUCUUCAAGUUCCAUCAGAGCCAUUCUGACUUGUCAUGUUAUAUCCAUUUUUUUUCCACUAUAGAAAACCAGCAUAUUCCACCCCAAAGUAAGCCACUUUGACAUAAGGAUUCUUUUGAACUGAAGAUAUUUGUGAUUUACCAGAUGGCAGAAAGAAGCCUUUCUUGGAGCUUUCCUUCUCUAAUUAAAUGCUGAAACUUCUGAGAAAUGUGGAGUACCAUAAUCCAUCUUCCAGGGAAGUUUUAUGGCCAUGAAGAAGAUGGGAAAGACUGCCUUUCACCAUGUUUCCCAGGCUGGAAUCCAGCUCCUGAGCUCAAGUGAUCCACCUGCCUCGGCCUCCCAAAGUGCUGGGAAUCUAGUCAUGAGCCACCAGAUCAGGACUUGCUCUGUCACCUAGACUGCAAUGGUUCAAUCACAGCUCUCUGCGGCCUUGAACUCUUG